CGUAAGCGCACGCAGGCGGUCAAUUAAGUCAGAUGUGAAAGCCCCGAGCUUAACUUGGGAAUUGCAUCUGAAACUGGUUGGCUAGAGUCUUGUAGAGGGGGGUAGAAUUCCAUGUGUAGCGGUGAAAUGCGUAGAGAUGUGGAGGAAUACCGGUGGCGAAGGCGGCCCCCUGGACAAAGACUGACGCUCAGGUGCGAAAGCGUGGGGAGCAAACAGGAUUAGAUACC
This 227-nucleotide ribosomal RNA is filed under the name Proteus sp. (in: enterobacteria). Its description in RNAcentral is "Proteus sp. partial 16S ribosomal RNA". It matches the Rfam family "Bacterial small subunit ribosomal RNA", at positions 563 to 786 of the family's 1533-position model. Lineage: Bacteria; Pseudomonadati; Pseudomonadota; Gammaproteobacteria; Enterobacterales; Morganellaceae. The record is from RNAcentral.